This 468-nucleotide ribosomal RNA is filed under the name uncultured bacterium. RNAcentral describes it as "partial 16S ribosomal RNA". It matches the Rfam family "Bacterial small subunit ribosomal RNA", at positions 28 to 507 of the family's 1533-position model. The record is from RNAcentral.
GACGAACGCUGGCGGCGUGCUUAACACAUGCAAGUCGAACGGAAAGGCCCUGCUUAUGUGGGGUGCUCGAGUGGCGAACGGGUGAGUAACACGCGAGUAACCUGCCCUUGACUUUGGGAUAACUUCAGGAAACUGGGGCUAAUACCGGAUAGGAGCUCCUGCUGCAUGGUGGGGGUCGGAAAGUUUCGGCGGUUGGGGAUGGACUCGCGGCUUAUCAGCUUGUUGGUGGGGUAGUGGCUUACCAAGGCUUUGACGGGUAGCCGGCCUGAGAGGGUGACCGGCCACGUUGGGACUGGGAUGCAGCCCAGACUCCUACGGGAGGCAGCAGUGGGGAAUAUUGCACAAUGGGCGGAAGCCUGAUGCAGCAACGCAGCUUGCGGGAUGACGGCCUUCGGGUUGUAAACCGCUUUCGCCUGUGACGAAGCGUGAGUGGGGGUAAUGUGUAGAGAAGCACGAGCUAACUACGUG